AAGGCGGAAACCGAAAAGCCUUUAAUUAGAGUAGGAU
Molecule: non-coding RNA, 37 nt
Filed under: unclassified sequences
Description: DUF805b RNA
Rfam family: DUF805b RNA
About the family: Bacteroidetes, Chlorobi (1 example), Proteobacteria. Lineage (Flavobacteria)
Source: RNAcentral